This 517-nucleotide ribosomal RNA is filed under the name uncultured bacterium. RNAcentral describes it as "bacterial SSU rRNA". It matches the Rfam family "Bacterial small subunit ribosomal RNA", at positions 29 to 518 of the family's 1533-position model. The record is from RNAcentral.
ACGAACGCUGGCGGCGUGCCUAAUACAUGCAAGUCGAACGGUCUUUCUAUGGAAGCUUGCUUCCACUGAGAAGAUAGUGGCGAACGGGUGAGUAACACGUGGGUAACCUGCCCAUAAGAGGGGGAUAACAUCCGGAAACGGGUGCUAAUACCGCAUAGUUUUCUUGAUCGCAUGAUCGGGAAAGGAAAGACGGCCUUUGUGCUGUCGCUUAUGGAUGGACCCGCGGCGUAUUAGUUAGUUGGUGAGGUAAUGGCUCACCAAGACGAUGAUACGUAGCCGACCUGAGAGGGUGAUCGGCCACAUUGGGACUGAGACACGGCCCAAACUCCUACGGGAGGCAGCAGUAGGGAAUCUUCCGCAAUGGACGAAAGUCUGACGGAGCAACGCCGCGUGAGUGAAGAAGGUUUUUCCGGAUCGUAAAACUCUGUUGUCAGAGAAGAACAAGUUGGAGAGUAACUGCUCCAGCCUUGACGGUAUCUGACCAGAAAGCCACGGCUAACUACGUGCCAGCAGCAGC